GGGAGGUAGUGACAAUAAAUAACAAUACGGGGUUCUAAAGGAUUUCGUAAUUGGAAUGAGUACAAUUUAAAUCUCUUAACGAUCAACAAUUGGAGGGCAAGUCUGGUGCCAGCAGCCGCGGUAAUUCCAGCUCCAAUAGCGUAUAUUAAAGUUGUUGCAGUUAAAAAGCUCGUAGUUGAAUUUCGGGAUUAGUACGCUGGUCGUGCCUUCGGUACGUACUGGUGUUACUGAUUUCUACCUUCUGACGAACCAUCAUGUCAUUAGUUUGGUGUGGUGGGGAAUCAGGACUGUUACUUUGAAAAAAUUAGAGUGUUUAAAGCAGGCUCGCGCUUGAAUACAUUAGCAUGGAAUAAUGAAAUAGGACGUUUGAUCCUAUUUUGUUGGUUUCUAGGAUUGACGUAAUGAUUAAUAGGGAUAGUUGGG
This 423-nucleotide ribosomal RNA is filed under the name uncultured Glomeraceae. RNAcentral describes it as "SSU rRNA". It matches the Rfam family "Eukaryotic small subunit ribosomal RNA", at positions 459 to 886 of the family's 1831-position model. The record is from RNAcentral. Lineage: Eukaryota; Fungi; Glomeromycota; Glomeromycetes; Glomerales; Glomeraceae.